UGGGGAAUUGUUCACAAUGGGCGCAAGCCUGAUGACGCAACGCCGCGUGGGGGAUGAAGGUCUUCGGAUCGUAAACCCCUGUCGAAUGGGACGAAAGACUCGCGAGUGAAUACUUCGCGAGAGUGACGGUACCGUUAAAGGAAGCCACGGCUAACUCUGUGCCAGCAGCCGCGGUAAUACAGAGGUGGCAAGCGUUGUUCGGAAUUACUGGGCGUAAAGGGCGCGUAGGCGGCCUUAUAAGUCUCGUGUGAAAGCCCUCGGCUUAACUGAGGAUCUGCACGGGAUACUGUAAGGCUCGAGUUCGGGAGAGGAAAGCGGAAUUCCGGGUGUAGCGGUGAAAUGCGUAGAUAUCCGGAGGAACACCAGUGGCGAAGGCGGCUUUCUGGACCGACACUGACGCUGAGGCGCGAAAGCUAGGGGAGCAAACGGGAUUAGAUACCCGGGUAGUCCCUGAGCGGGCUGGCAAGGCG
This 470-nucleotide ribosomal RNA is filed under the name uncultured bacterium. Its description in RNAcentral is "bacterial SSU rRNA". It matches the Rfam family "Bacterial small subunit ribosomal RNA", at positions 355 to 822 of the family's 1533-position model. The record is from RNAcentral.